Molecule: ribosomal RNA, 662 nt
Filed under: Backusella recurva
Lineage: Eukaryota; Fungi; Mucoromycota; Mucoromycetes; Mucorales; Backusellaceae
Description: eukaryotic LSU rRNA
Rfam family: 5.8S ribosomal RNA (bases 231-383)
Source: RNAcentral
GUGAAAUGUUUUUUUAUAUUGACCCUGGGUGGUUGAUGGUUUCGGCUAUCUUCUGCCCACAGUGUAUAUGGUUGGCCUGCUCUUUUCGUUCAUAGAGCCAAUUGUAUGUUCUGGGUAACCAGAAACACUGCGAGAUCAAGGGAGCCGUAUUAGCUCUUAUCUAUGAGGCGAAAAAAAUUGAAUAGAAAUGAAUUAAUUUAUCUGAGUGAAAUAAUAAAAAAGUUUAAAACAACUUUCAACAAUGGAUCUCUAGGUUCUCGCAUCGAUGAAGAACGUAGCAAAUUGCGAUAACUAGUGUGAAUUGCAUUUUCAGUGAAUCAUCGAGUCUUUGAACGCAUCUUGCACUCUAGGGCAUUCCCUAGAGUACGCCUGUUUCAGUAACAGAAAGACCCCUCGUCCUAAAAUUUUUUUUUGGGCGGAUUUGACUAGUUGGGUACGCCAUUUUAUGGAUGAAUUCAAUUCAAGUCUAAUAAUUGAUGACUUAUAUUGACUAUAAGCUUGAUUUACAGGUAUCAACUUGUAUCUUUUUGAUAUCAUUAGGAUAUAAGGCCUUGGAUUAGGUUGUUCAGUAUGCGAGUCUAAACCACUCUAUACCGUAAAAAAGUAUAUACCUUCACAUUUGUUCUGAAAUCAGGUGGGAUUACCCGCUGAACUUAAGCAUA